This 253-nucleotide ribosomal RNA is filed under the name uncultured Lactobacillus sp. RNAcentral describes it as "partial 16S ribosomal RNA". It matches the Rfam family "Bacterial small subunit ribosomal RNA", at positions 524 to 776 of the family's 1533-position model. Lineage: Bacteria; Bacillati; Bacillota; Bacilli; Lactobacillales; Lactobacillaceae. The record is from RNAcentral.
UACGUAGGUGGCAAGCGUUAUCCGGAUUUAUUGGGCGUAAAGGGAACGCAGGCGGUCUUUUAAGUCUGAUGUGAAAGCCUUCGGCUUAACCGGAGUAGUGCAUUGGAAACUGGGAGACUUGAGUGCAGAAGAGGAGAGUGGAACUCCAUGUGUAGCGGUGAAAUGCGUAGAUAUAUGGAAGAACACCAGUGGCGAAAGCGGAUGACUGGACGACAACUGACGGUGAGGCGCGAAAGCGUGGGGAGCAAACAGG